GAAAUGCGAUAAGUAAUGUGAAUUGCAGAAUUCAGUGAAUCAUCGAAUCUUUGAACGCACCUUGCGCUCCUUGGUAUUCCUUGGAGCAUGCCUGUUUGAGUAUCAUGAAAUCUUCAAAGUAAAUCUUUUGUUAACUCAAUUGGUUUCUACUUUGGUAUUGGAGGUCUUUGCAGCUUCACACCUGCUCCUCUUUGUUCAUUAGCUGGAUCUCAGUGUUAUGCUUGGUUCCACUCGGCGUGAUAAGUUAUCUAUCGCCGAGGACACUGUAAAAGGUGGCCAAGGUAAAUGCAGAUGAACCGCUUCUAAUAGUCCAUUGACUUGGACAAUACUUUUAUGAUCUGAUCUCAAAUCAGGUAGGACUACCCGCUGAACUUAGGC
This 378-nucleotide unclassified non-coding RNA is filed under the name plant metagenome. RNAcentral describes it as "partial contains 5.8S ribosomal RNA, internal transcribed spacer 2, and large subunit ribosomal RNA". The stretch from base 1 to 105 matches the Rfam family "5.8S ribosomal RNA", at positions 50 to 154 of the family's 154-position model. The record is from RNAcentral.